RNAcentral lists this ribosomal RNA (495 nucleotides) under uncultured bacterium. Its description in RNAcentral is "partial 16S ribosomal RNA". It matches the Rfam family "Bacterial small subunit ribosomal RNA", at positions 28 to 507 of the family's 1533-position model. The record is from RNAcentral.
GACGAACGCUGGCGGCGUGCCUAAUACAUGCAAGUAGAACGCUGAAGGAGGAGCUUGCUUCUCUGGAUGAGUUGCGAACGGGUGAGUAACGCGUAGGUAACCUGCCUGGUAGCGGGGGAUAACUAUUGGAAACGAUAGCUAAUACCGCAUAAGAGUAGAUGUUGCAUGACAUUUGCUUAAAAGGUGCAAUUGCAUCUCUACCAGAUGGACCUGCGUUGUAUUAGCUAGUUGGUGGGGUAACGGCUCACCAAGGCGACGAUACAUAGCCGACCUGAGAGGGUGAUCGGCCACACUGGGACUGAGACACGGCCCAGACUCCUACGGGAGGCAGCAGUAGGGAAUCUUCGGCAAUGGACGGAAGUCUGACCGAGCAACGCCGCGUGAGUGAAGAAGGUUUUCGGAUCGUAAAGCUCUGUUGUAAGAGAAGAACGAGUGUGAGAGUGGAAAGUUCACACUGUGACGGUAUCUUACCAGAAAGGGACGGCUAACUACGUG